GUUACAGGUUGAAAGAAUGAAUGAGCGACACAGGAUGAAAGACAGCAAGGGAACAGGCUACUGGGGAGAUACCUGUAACAACAUCACCAACCACAGUUGGGGUAAUGGAGAAUUUCUAAAAAAAAAAAAAAAAAGGCCUUACUACUUUCUGAUCAUAUCUUAGAUAUGUCAUAAGCCAAACAUCCUACUUUGAGUCAACUCAAGUCAAUGGGGUAUAUCAUCUAUAAGAAAAAUGUGGGAUAUUUGGGAACAUCUACAGAAACACUAUAAAGUAGAACUAUAAGAUGAAUACCCCUGAACUACAUGAAAAGUUAAAAUUAUACUCUCCUGUACCAGAAAGAGAGCUACGAUCAAGAGGACUUUAUUUAUGG
Molecule: long non-coding RNA, 371 nt
Organism: Homo sapiens (human)
Lineage: Eukaryota; Metazoa; Chordata; Mammalia; Primates; Hominidae
Gene: NAALADL2-AS1
Product: NAALADL2 antisense RNA 1
Exons: 3
Source: RefSeq, marked validated